Molecule: ribosomal RNA, 404 nt
Filed under: Fusobacteriota bacterium
Lineage: Bacteria; Fusobacteriati; Fusobacteriota
Description: Fusobacteria bacterium partial 16S ribosomal RNA
Rfam family: Bacterial small subunit ribosomal RNA
Source: RNAcentral
UGGGGAAUAUUGCACAAUGGAGGGAACUCUGAUGCAGCGACGCCGCGUGAGUGAUGAAGGAAUUCGUUUCGUAAAACUCUGUUCUAUGGGAAGAAAAGGACUGUACCAUAGGAGAAAGCUCCGGCUAAAUACGUGCCAGCAGCCGCGGUAAUACGUAUGGAGCGAGCGUUGUCCGGAAUUAUUGGGCGUAAAGGGUGCGCAGGCGGCUUUACAAGUUGGAUGUGAAAUAUUGUGGCUCAACCACAAACGUGCAUCCAAAACUGCAAAGCUUGAGUUAAGGAGAGGUAAGUGGAAUUCCUGGUGUAGCGGUGGAAUGCGUAGAUAUCAGGAGGAAUACCGGUGGCGAAGGCGACUUACUGGACUUAAACUGACGCUCAGGCACGAAAGCGUGGGGAGCAACCAGG